GAUGAACGCUGGCGGCGUGCCUAAUACAUGCAAGUCGAGCGAACAGACGAGGAGCUUGCUCCUCUGACGUUAGCGGCGGACGGGUGAGUAACACGUGGAUAACCUACCUAUAAGACUGGGAUAACUUCGGGAAACCGGAGCUAAUACCGGAUAAUAUAUUGAACCGCAUGGUUCAAUAGUGAAAGACGGUUUUGCUGUCACUUAUAGAUGGAUCCGCGCCGCAUUAGCUAGUUGGUAAGGUAACGGCUUACCAAGGCAACGAUGCGUAGCCGACCUGAGAGGGUGAUCGGCCACACGGGAAGUGAGACACGGUCCAGACGCCUACGGGAGGGAGCAGUAGGGAAUAUUCCGCAAUGGGCGAAAGCCUGACGGAGCAACGCCGCGUGAGUGAUGAAGGUCUUCGGAUCGUAAAACUCUGUUAUUAGGGAAGAACAAAUGUGUAAGUAACUAUGCACGUAUUGACGGUACCUAAUCAGAAAGCCACGGCUAACUACGUG
Molecule: ribosomal RNA, 497 nt
Filed under: uncultured bacterium
Lineage: Bacteria
Description: partial 16S ribosomal RNA
Rfam family: Bacterial small subunit ribosomal RNA
Source: RNAcentral